AUUGAACGCUGGCGGAAUGCUUUACACAUGCAAGUCGAACGGCAGCACGGGAUCUUGCUCCUGGUGGCGAGUGGCGAACGGGUGAGUAAUGCAUCGGAACGUACCUAUGAGUGGGGGAUAACUAUCCGAAUGGAUAGCUAAUACCGCAUACGGCCGGAGGGAGAAAGCGGGGGAUCGCAAGACCUCGCGCUAAUAGAGCGGCCGAUGUUGGAUUAGCUAGUUGGUGGGGUAAAGGCCUACCAAGGCGACGAUCCAUAGCUGGUCUGAGAGGAUGAUCAGCCACACUGGGACUGAGACACGGCCCAGACUCCUACGGGAGGCAGCAGUGGGGAAUUUUGGACAAUGGGGGCAACCCUGAUCCAGCCAUUCCGCGUGAGUGAAGAAGGCCUUCGGGUUGUAAAGCUCUUUCGGCAGGAACGAAACGGUGGUUACUAAUACUAGCUACUAAUGACGGUACCUGAAGAAGAAGCACCGGCUAACUACGUGCCAGCCGCCGCAGUAA
Molecule: ribosomal RNA, 502 nt
Filed under: uncultured bacterium
Lineage: Bacteria
Description: partial 16S ribosomal RNA
Rfam family: Bacterial small subunit ribosomal RNA
Source: RNAcentral